RNAcentral lists this ribosomal RNA (253 nucleotides) under uncultured bacterium. RNAcentral's name for it is "partial 16S ribosomal RNA". It matches the Rfam family "Bacterial small subunit ribosomal RNA", at positions 524 to 776 of the family's 1533-position model. The record is from RNAcentral.
UACGUAAGGGGCAAGCGUUGUCCGGAAUCACUGGGCGUAAAGCGCACGUAGGCGGUUUAGCAAGUCAGGGGUGUAAGCUCUAGGCUUAACCUAGAAAUUGCCUCUGAAACUACUUCACUUGAGUAUUAGAGGGGAAGCUGGAAUUCACGGUGUAGCGGUGAAAUGCAUAGAUACAAUCAAGAACACCGAUUGCGUAGGCAGCUUACUAGGCUGUAACUGACGCUGAGGCACGAAAGCGUGGGGAGCGAACAGG